GAUGAACGCUGGCGGCGUGCCUAAUACAUGCAAGUCGAGCGAACAGACGAGGAGCUUGCUCCUCUGAUGUUAGCGGCGGACGGGUGAGUAAUACGUGGAUAACCUACCUAUAAGACUGGGAUAACUUCGGGAAACCGGAGCUAAUACCGGAUAACAUGUUGAACCGCAUGGUUCAACAGUGAAAGACGGUCUUGCUGUCACUUAUAGAUGGAUCCGCGCCGCAUUAGCUAGUUGGUAAGGUAACGGCUUACCAAGGCAACGAUGCGUAGCCGACCUGAGAGGGUGAUCGGCCACACUGGAACUGAGACACGGUCCAGACUCCUACGGGAGGCAGCAGUAGGGAAUCUUCCGCAAUGGGCGAAAGCCUGACGGAGCAACGCCGCGUGAGUGAAGAAGGUCUUCGGAUCGUAAAACUCUGUUAUUAGGGAAGAACAAAUGUGUAAGUAACUAUGCACGUCUUGACGGUACCUAAUCAGAAAGCCACGGCUAACUACGUG
Molecule: ribosomal RNA, 497 nt
Filed under: uncultured bacterium
Lineage: Bacteria
Description: partial 16S ribosomal RNA
Rfam family: Bacterial small subunit ribosomal RNA
Source: RNAcentral